CCGCCCUCCCGCAGGAAUCCCGGGCGGCGCGGCGGCUCCGGGACGCGCGGCUCCGCGGGGCUGCACAGCAGCGGCAGCGGCAGCAGGAGAGCAGCGAGCGGGGGAGCCGCGCUGCCAGCAGCAGCCGCCGCCUCACGCUGCGGCACCGGCACGGCCAGCGCAGGUGGCAGUGUAGAAGCCAAGAACAAGAAUUGGCAGAAAUUGUGUUCUGUGUACGAGACUAUGAAGAGUGUACUCAUGACUAAGCACAGGAACCUGGAAAACCACAGGCUUUGGUCAGGUGAUCCCUGAUGAGCAGCCAGCCCACCAAGAAGGGAUUUGAGCACACAGGCUGGUGCCAGAUUCCUCUGUGGAUGGGUGGUGGAAAGCUCCUGUCUUCACCCACCGCUGGAAACACAAAUGUUACAGCUCUGCCCAUCAUUGUGCCUGACAAGCCGUGUUCCCUGAGAGCUGAAUGCUGAGCACACCUCAGCCCCUGUGAUCAGACACUGCCAGCAUUCAAAGGAGAUGUUUUAUACAUGAAAAAGAGAUGUUUACAGAGAGCUGGAAUGUAGAGGUGAUGCAGUCCAACAAUCCCAGUGGAAAUUAGGAGCAGCUCAGUGCCUCUGAAGGCUGACGUGUGUUAUGUAUAUAGCACUGAGCACGGAGGGGCUUCCUGCACACUGAUGCUGUGAAUUAGUCACUGCAGGUACCAUAACUUGCAUAAGCUGGUGGGAAAAAGUGCAUUUUCAGCCAAGCGUGCUAAUACAGCCCUUCCACUUUCUCUGAAACAGACAAAUAAUGGAUACCUUAAGGGUAAAUAUCAAAGAGGAUUUAGUUUUAGGGUUUUUUGUUUGUUUGUUUGUGUGUUUUGUUUGGCUUUUUAAAUGCAAAGAUUCUCAAAACCUACAUCACUUGUUUACCCAAAGGAAAAAUAAACAAACAUGGACUUGCUCA
This 936-nucleotide long non-coding RNA is filed under the name Junco hyemalis (dark-eyed junco). RNAcentral's name for it is "lncRNA (ENSJHYG00000013276.1)". The record is from RNAcentral. Lineage: Eukaryota; Metazoa; Chordata; Aves; Passeriformes; Passerellidae.